Molecule: non-coding RNA, 127 nt
Organism: Triticum urartu
Lineage: Eukaryota; Viridiplantae; Streptophyta; Magnoliopsida; Poales; Poaceae
Source: Rfam
GAUAUACUCCCUCCGUCCCAAAAUUCUUGUCUUAGAUUUGUCUAGAUACGGAUGUAUCUAGUUACACUAGAUACAUCCGUAUCUAGACAAAUCUAAGACAAGAAUUUUGGGACGGAGGUUGUACUAG